Molecule: long non-coding RNA, 4382 nt
Filed under: Hordeum vulgare
Lineage: Eukaryota; Viridiplantae; Streptophyta; Magnoliopsida; Poales; Poaceae
Description: long non-coding RNA (HVUL_LNC020437)
Source: RNAcentral
GCCGCCAGUGAGACUCUCGUCGUCCCCAACGCCAUGACCAGCAUCGGGUCGAGCUCGUCUCCGGUGUAGCGGCCACCUCGUCGCCUCCCCGUAGCUGCGCAAGCAAGAGGACCCAGGAGGGGUUCCAUUUUCGCGCGGAGCCGGAGCCGGGGCUUCUUCCUCGACGUCCCCGACGAGCACCUUCUUCCUCGGCCAGCGGCUUUUACCUGCAGCAGUAGGCGCACUUCUUCUUCUUCCACGUCGGGCGCCUCUCCUCUCGACGCAAGGUGAGCGAGACCGUGCCUCUCCCCCUCCUCGUUUCCUCUUCGGAAGUGGCGCCGAGCCUCCUGCUCGAGGCUUGCCGGAGUUGCACCGGCAGGCUAUACGUGUAGUUGUUUCUCUGCUAGUUGGCGCAGGCAGGGUAGACUUCCGCCGUUCGUGUCGAUGUAGACGAGGUAGCCCCACGGCUGUGCGUAGAUAGUAGCAGGGGAUCCAUCUCCUCGGGUUGCUUCGGUUCCUCCGGUAGCUGCUGCAGCAACAGGACGCCGGCGAACUCCCUGUCGCCGUGCAGUUCCGUCGAGCAAAGUUGUAGCUUCUUCAGCUUGUGUGCAUGGUGUUCUCUGCAGGAGAGGUUUGUAGUUGGUAGUGGUAGUAGGGUUCUUCCUCCCCCUCGUAGCGCCAUCCCACUUCGGCAGGUCGCCCUCGAGCGGCGCAGCGGCAGCAGUUGCUCGCCACGGCGUCUUCUCUGUCGCCGGCGCGCAGUUGUGGAGCAGAGACAGCGAUGGCCUUGGUAUUUCUCGCUUCAGGUCCUUCCUCUGUCAGAUGUAGUUGCAGUAGCGCAGUGGUAGUGACUCCUGUUGGUCAUCGAGAGGUGCAGGGUUCGAGUCCCCGGUGGUGCACCGCCCCUAUUUUUUUUGGUUUUAUUUCCUGAUCUCGCCAUGUACCCCUCCUCUGUCGAGUGCAUGGUGAUCAGUGGAGUGGUAUUGGUGCUCUAGGUUACCAGAGGGAGUACUGGGAUCGAAUCCCAGGAAGUUCCUUUUUUUUCUCUUUGCUGCUAUAUUUAUUCAUCUUUGCUUUGUAGUUCCUGUUAUACCCAUAGGUGGUCAUGGCAUCUUGUUUCUAUUUUAUUUUCUUGCUGUUAUUUCUAUGUUAGGUGAUGUAGUGUGUGGCUUGUGAGAAUUGCAUGUGUGUGUGAGGCCAUUUACAUAUGGAGAAGCUUGACAUAUGGUGUGUGCAUGGUGGUGCUACCUAGUAGUUUAUCCUAGGUGAAGCUAGCAAGUGAAGUAGCAAACUUGUGUAGCUUCUUCUUUGUUGUAAGUGCUAUCAUGUGUUGAUGCACUAGGUUGUGUGUUUACAUAUGGAGUUGACCUUGUUUUAGUUGGUAGCUAAGAUCAUGUGGAGUAUGUGAGUGUGUGUGGAACUUCCCCACCCUUUGCAAAAACUAUGCACCUUCACAUGUCUAUAUGUGAGAGGGCAUGGUGUUUGUGUGUGGGGAUAGUUUGGUAGAUAUGUUGGUAUUGUUGAUGUGCAUGACAAAAACAUGGGGUUCAAACCCCCAUGUCACUUUGUCAAUGAGCACAUAAGAUUCACCUAUGUAUUGUCAUCUUAGAAGCAUACCUUGUGGGAUGGCAUGUGCAUUUUGUUGAAAGUUUGGGCCUUGUUUCCAUGGUAUAGAUGGAGCCCAAGGGCAUGGAGCUUUGUGUGUUAGUGGUAGGGGUUUGUGCUCAACACCAUAGUGGUGUCAAUCACCUCUUGGUGACAUGUGUGUGCAAACUAUGCCUAGACGAAGUGGGCAUGUGGCUGGAAAAUUCCAGAUUUUUGAACUCUGAAAAAUUUCACUAAGUCUGGAAUGCUGAAAACAUUUUCUUCCCCUGUAGAUAAGGAAGUGCUGGUCAUUCUGUUGAGAAAUGGACUUAGUUCAGUGCUAGUGUUUUGAACCUGGGAUGUUUGUGAAGCUUCCUGUCAAUUUUCAAGUCAUUUAGAGUCCAGUAGCUUGUGUUUUGAUUGCUGUCAAAAGCUUCAGAACAGAAACAGAAACUCAGGUGCAGGAAUUUUCACUAAGUCCCUGAGAACUGAUGGUUUUGGGAAAGUUUGUGGCCUUGUAUCUUCUAGAGUUUAAUUCCUUUUGCUGUGAUUCUUGCUGGAGCUUGUAGUGUUCUUGGUUGGCAACAGCCACAUAUAUUAUUUGUCAUAUUUGAAGACCUGUAGCUAUGUUGCAUGUGGCUCACAAACAGCUAAGAUGCAGAAACUGGCAGAUUGCAUAGUUUUGCCAUUUUGUUCAAAGUUUGUGCUUAAUUGUUGUUGUGGUAUUCUACCUUGCUCCUUUUCAUUCAUGUUGGGUUAAUAUAUGUCUUGGCAACCUGGGAACACCAGAUCUGUGCCAAUCGAAUGUGUGGGGUUGAAUCUUUCACGUAGGGCUUCAUAUCGUGUUUCGUCGAUUCCCGUUGAUCCGUAGCUCCGUUGGCAAAGUUCUUUAUAUGGUUUUGCACCGUUUUUACGAGAUGCAUCUGUUCAUAUCAUUCCCAUGCAUGUCCAAAUAGUUUAGUGCAAAGUUCUGUCCAGGAACUUGUUGUAGUUUAUCUUGCUUGUGCUAGUGUUAGAAAUAGUGGUGCAUGCUCAACUUUCAUCUCAUGCAUCAUGUGAUUGUUGCAUUUUGUGGUGCUGCUGUUCAUUGUCUGUUAUUCUUGUGUUGGGUAGCACCGGGAGCGGAGACCGAAUACGUGGAGUCAGGAGAGUACGUGCAGGACGAUCCAGAACCAUUCCAAGCUGAGGAUAUCACAGGCAAGAUGACAUGACCUUGAUCCCAUAUCUAGACUUGUUGUGUUAGUUUCGAUUCCACGUUAUUGCUCGCUGCCUACCACUGAAAAUAUAUUGCCUCUUCAUAUGCCAUGAGCCUAAACACCUUACUCUUUUCUAGCAAACUUGCAUGGCUAGGUAGGCUUGCUCAGCUACUAAUGUUAGCAUUGUUAGUUGCAAGUGUUUAUAACUCAUGAGAUGCAUUGAGCUUGAUAUCAUUAUAUUAAUUUCUGUUAUUUAAUUAAUGUAUCUAUAUAUUUGGUAAAUGACGGGAGGCCUAGCCUUUUGCUGGGUGUCUUGUUCCGUUAUUGCCGCCUUAGUUACCGGUUACCGGUGUUUGAUUCCAUAAUGAUCGCUCCUAACACGUUCGGGGUUGUUAUGGGGACCCACUUGAUAAAUCGCGUAGUGUUAAGGCUUGUCCGGCAGGACCCAACAUUGGUACUAUUUGCUAAUCACUUAAUAAUAAACUGCAUAGGGAAUAGCUACCCCGAGGUUUCUUAAUCAACAACCCGGGCCAGUGCUCCUCAUGAGUGUUGGUCCAAACUGGGCAGACUACGGGGCCACCACAGGGCAACCUGAGGUUUGGUAUACCUGUAGUGUGACUCAUCCGGCGUGUCCUGAGACUGAGAUACGCGGCUCUUAUCAGGGUCGUCGACACGUCGGGAGGUCCUGCUAGUCUUGUCUUGCCUUAGCGGUAUAUCUUGCGUAUAGGAAUUCCGGUGAAGCUUUGGUUUCACCCAGAGUUGAGGUUUUCUCUAAGGAAUCCGACGAGAUCACGAGAUUCGUGAUAGAGGAUGCCUUUGCGGCCUGUGUUCGUUUGUGAUGGACUAGUUGGAGCACCCCUGCAGGGUUUAAUCUUUCGGAAAGCCGUGCCCGCGGUUAUGUGGCAACUUGGAAUAUUUUGUUAACAUCCGGUAUUAGAAAACUUAAACAUAAACUAAUAAAAUAUGCCAACUGUGUGCGUAACCGUGACUGUCCCUUCGAAGAUCUCUCUUCGACCGGGAACACGGUGGGGUUAUGAUUGCCGUAGGUAGGUGUUCAGGAUCACUUUCUGAUCAAGUAUUCCCGAUCGUUAGCGUAGGCCACUGUCACUUCUCCUUUGCGUAAGCUAGCCACUUAUUCAAACUUAGGAUGCAGCAGCCGGAAACACUUCACCCCUUCCUUGCCCAUUUACAUGACUAGAUCUGGCACCAAGGCCUUAGAUUGCUGAGUCCCCGUGGCUCACGGAUUCCUCCGAAACUUCCAGCAGGUACAGGUACCCCAGAGGCAGAGGAUCCCGACGGCACCCAGCUGGCGUGGCAGUACGACGAGGAGACAGAUCGCCUUUACGUGAACUAUCCAGAGGACUGAGCCGUGGUCGUGAUCGUGGGCCUGCAGCGGGUAGCAUAGCAUUUCCCUUGUUUUGUAGUCCGUACCAGAACUACAUUGAUUGUAUCUGCGUUGUACUCUGUAUUAUUAAUAAGAAGACAGUUGAAUCCCAGAUUGUCUACUUUAUUUCUUAUUAUGUGCUAUGUUUACUUGCUUGCAAAACACUUAGAUGCGCUUCUUUCCUAUUCGGGGCCUCGACCCCCAGAUCGGAAAGGACCGCAUCUUGGUCGUUACACCUC